GAAUGCUGACAUAAGUAACGAUAAAGCGGGUGAAAAGCCCGCUCGCCGGAAGACCAAGGGUUCCUGUCCAACGUUAAUCGGGGCAGGGUGAGUCGACCCCUAAGGCGAGGCCGAAAGGCGUAGUCGAUGGGAAACAGGUUAAUAUUCCUGUACUUGGUGUUACUGCGAAGGGGGGACGGAGAAGGCUAUGUUGGCCGGGCGACGGUUGUCCCGGUUUAAGCGUGUAGGCUGGUUUUCCAGGCAAAUCCGGAAAAUCAAGGCUGAGGCGUGAUGACGAGGCACUACGGUGCUGAAGCAACAAAUGCCCUGCUUCCAGGAAAAGCCUCUAAGCAUCAGGUAACAUCAAAUCGUACCCCAAACCGACACAGGUGGUCAGGUAGAGAAUACCAAGGCGCUUGAGAGAACUCGGGUGAAGGAACUAGGCAAAAUGGUGCCGUAACUUCGGGAGAAGGCACGCUGAUAUGUAGGUGAAGUCCCUCGCGGAUGGAGCUGAAAUCAGUCGAAGAUACCAGCUGGCUGCAACUGUUUAUUAAAAACACAGCACUGUGCAAACACGAAAGUGGACGUAUACGGUGUGACGCCUGCCCGGUGCCGGAAGGUUAAUUGAUGGGGUUAGCCGCAAGGCGAAGCUCUUGAUCGAAGCCCCGGUAAACGGCGGCCGUAACUAUAACGGUCCUAAGGUAGCGAAAUUCCUUGUCGGGUAAGUUCCGACCUGCACGAAUGGCGUAAUGAUGGCCAGGCUGUCUCCACCCGAGACUCAGUGAAAUUGAACUCGCUGUGAAGAUGCAGUGUACCCGCGGCAAGACGGAAAGACCCCGUGAACCUUUACUAUAGCUUGACACUGAACAUUGAGCCUUGAUGUGUAGGAUAGGUGGGAGGCUUAGAAGUGUGGACGCCAGUCUGCAUGGAGCCGACCUUGAAAUACCACCCUUUAAUGUUUGAUGUUCUAACGUUGACCCGUAAUCCGGGUUGCGGACAGUGUCUGGUGGGUAGUUUGACUGGGGCGGUCUCCUCCUAAAGAGUAACGGAGGAGCACGAAGGUUGGCUAAUCCUGGUCGGACAUCAGGAGGUUAGUGCAAUGGCAUAAGCCAGCUUGACUGCGAGCGUGACGGCGCGAGCAGGUGCGAAAGCAGGUCAUAGUGAUCCGGUGGUUCUGAAUGGAAGGGCCAUCGCUCAACGGAUAAAAGGUACUCCGGGGAUAACAGGCUGAUACCGCCCAAGAGUUCAUAUCGACGGCGGUGUUUGGCACCUCGAUGUCGGCUCAUCACAUCCUGGGGCUGAAGUAGGUCCCAAGGGUAUGGCUGUUCGCCAUUUAAAGUGGUACGCGAGCUGGGUUUAGAACGUCGUGAGACAGUUCGGUCCCUAUCUGCCGUG
RNAcentral lists this ribosomal RNA (1374 nucleotides) under Escherichia coli. RNAcentral describes it as "partial 23S ribosomal RNA". It matches the Rfam family "Bacterial large subunit ribosomal RNA", at positions 1292 to 2649 of the family's 2925-position model. The record is from RNAcentral. Lineage: Bacteria; Pseudomonadati; Pseudomonadota; Gammaproteobacteria; Enterobacterales; Enterobacteriaceae.